GCCCUGUGACGCAAUGGAUAACGCGUUGAACUUCUAAUUCAAAGGUAGUGGGUUCAAAUCCCACGUGAGAUG
Molecule: non-coding RNA, 72 nt
Organism: Trichonephila inaurata madagascariensis
Lineage: Eukaryota; Metazoa; Arthropoda; Arachnida; Araneae; Nephilidae
Source: the annotation of a GenBank genome assembly